UACGUAGGGUGCAAGCGUUGUCCGGAAUUAUUGGGCGUAAAGAGCUCGUAGGCGGUUUGUCGCGUCUGCUGUGAAAUCCCGAGGCUCAACCUCGGGUCUGCAGUGGGUACGGGCAGACUAGAGUGUGGUAGGGGGAGAUUGGAAUUCCUGGUGUAGCGGUGGAAUGCGUAGAUAUGCGGGAGGAACACCGAUGGCGAAGGCAAUCCCCCUGGGCCUGCACUGACGCUCAUGCACAAAGCUGGGGAGCAAACAGG
This 254-nucleotide ribosomal RNA is filed under the name uncultured bacterium. Its description in RNAcentral is "partial 16S ribosomal RNA". It matches the Rfam family "Bacterial small subunit ribosomal RNA", at positions 524 to 776 of the family's 1533-position model. The record is from RNAcentral.